UGUCUCACUUUUUGUGACUUAAUCUACUUUCAUAGAAUUUUCGGUAUGUCAAAGUAAUAAAAAUGUUUGAAUUUAAUAAAAAUUGAGAAAAUAAAAAGUGAGUUUAGAUGUACAAAAUUUUAAAAAUUUCUAAUUUAGCUAUCUUUUUUGAACUCAAACAAAUUUAAUUAACAUUCUUGUUUUCAAAACGAAUAAAUUAAAAUUAAAUAAAAAUUGAAAAAAUAAAAAGUAAGGUUAUGGUGGGUACAAAAUUUGAAAAUAUUCCAGUUUUAGAUCACUUUUUUUGGAACUCAAGCAAAUAUAAUGAAAUUUCCUUUCAUUAAAAUUAACGAAAUUUGCUUUCAGCCAAAUUCAAUGAAAUUUUUGGAAAAUAAAAGUGGUGGCUUAUUUUCAAAAGCAAAUCAUGUCCUGCAAUCAUCCGAGACCCAACUGUAUUCAAAUUAAACACCUUAUUGUUAUCCUCUGCCAUGGCACUUUACAACCACUGCAGCUGACGUGAAAAAUUUAAUUGUUUGUAUGUGUGUAUGCAUGGAUGGCUGCGAUCGUGACACAUGACCUAUCCUGAACAUGUACAACACAUUACAUUGAGAAAAAAACAACCCCUAAAACAACAGUGGUGGGGACUGUACAUAAAAUUUUUCAAAAUUAGACAUCAAAGGAAACUCUUCUGGGAUGGCAUGGACACACAUAUUUGAAAAUGAAGUAAAACGAAAGAAAACUCUCUUGAAGACUCCUGCUGUGUCGCCACAACUGGCCCUUGCACAAUUCUCUAUAAUUUAUGUUUAGUAACCUUUAACCAUUUUCUUUAUAUUUAUUUACUUGUUAUGUAUAAUGAAACAGGCAGGAUCAUAAUA
Molecule: long non-coding RNA, 854 nt
Organism: Musca domestica (house fly)
Lineage: Eukaryota; Metazoa; Arthropoda; Insecta; Diptera; Muscidae
Exons: 3
Source: RefSeq, a predicted model, not a curated record